This 244-nucleotide ribosomal RNA is filed under the name uncultured bacterium. Its description in RNAcentral is "partial small subunit ribosomal RNA". It matches the Rfam family "Bacterial small subunit ribosomal RNA", at positions 26 to 285 of the family's 1533-position model. The record is from RNAcentral.
AGAAUCAACGCUGGCGGCGUGCCUAACACAUGCAAGUCGAACGAGAAAGUGGAGCAAUCCAUGAGUAAAGUGGCGCACGGGUGAGUAACACGUGACUAACCUACCCUUGAGUGGGGAAUAACUUCGGGAAACCGAGGCUAAUACCGCAUAAUACCUACGGGUCAAAGGAGCAAUUCGCUUAAGGAGGGGUCGCGGCAGAUUAGUUAGUUGGCAGGGUAAUGGCCUACCAAGACGGUGAUCUGUA